UGUAGCCAUGCUACAUCGCUAUUUAUAAAAACAUAUAGUUGGUUACCGGUAAAGUUACAGCGUUUUAAAAGUAGUUGCGCUACUGAUAAAAGUAAAGUUAGUAGUGUCGCUAAUUGUAGUAAGCUAUCCCCAACACCGUGUACACUAAAAGGAAGUUACUUUGGAAAAAUUCAUUGACAGUCAAAGUAAUUUUGAGUCUAAGUAAACCCCUGUAUCCUUCAACAAGAAUAAGAAUAUGUUUCUUCUUUAGUACUAAGAACAUAAAUGUUACAUGCUAACUUGUUUUCGAAUAUAUGCGCAGGCACACUGACACGCCAAUCAAAAACAACACUUUCAUAGUGAAAACUGCUAGCGUACGUUGCAAUUCUUUCUAGAUAAACUAUCUUCCAUAAGAUAAAAAAAGAUUCCUUCAGGAGUAUAAAUGUCUUUUGUUGACUAUUGCCAUAGGCGUUUGCCACAUUCAAGUAUUAAAUGAGGAACCAAAUGUAGUUAUCCUACCGUGUUAAGUAUCUUUAAGUAUAUUAUAACAAAAGUUGUGCUGAAAUUAAAGGUCCACUGAGCAUGGAUGCUGAAAUACAGCAGAGUGUGGGAAGACAAACUCCUGGGCUAGACCCACAGGCUCCACCCAUGAGUUGGUGAAUUUAUGCUCUGUGGAUCUGCAGCAGCACUGCAUAAGCUGAGCACUGGCAGGUGGAGCAGCCUGAGGCCAAAAGGGGCAGCAGCACUGUGCAGGUCAUGUUUUGGCAAAAGGAGCAGCCUGAGGCCAUGAGGGGCAGCGGCUUUGUAUGGGCCACGUUUUGGCAGGAGGAGCAGCCUGAGGCC
Long non-coding RNA from Brienomyrus brachyistius, 822 nucleotides. RefSeq lists it as uncharacterized. The record is from RefSeq and is a predicted model, not a curated record. The transcript is spliced from 3 exons. NCBI's taxonomy places the organism in Eukaryota, Metazoa, Chordata, Actinopteri, Osteoglossiformes, Mormyridae.